UGACCUCAAAUCAGGUAGGACUACCCGCUGAACUUAAGCAUAUCAAUAAGCGGAGGAAAAGAAACUAACAAGGAUUCCCCUAGUAACUGCGAGUGAAGCGGGAAAAGCUCAAAUUUAAAAUCUGGCGGUCUUAUGGCCGUCCGAGUUGUAAUCUGGAGAAGUGUUUUCCGCGUCGGACCGUGUACAAGUCUCCUGGAACGGAGCGUCAUAGAGGGUGAGAAUCCCGUCCAUGACACGGACCACCGAUGCUUUGUGAUACACUCUCGAAGAGUCGAGUUGUUUGGGAAUGCAGCUCAAAAUGGGUGGUAAAUUCCAUCUAAAGCUAAAUAUUGGCGAGAGACCGAUAGCGAACAAGUACCGUGAGGGAA
RNAcentral lists this ribosomal RNA (368 nucleotides) under Porodaedalea pini. RNAcentral describes it as "eukaryotic LSU rRNA". It matches the Rfam family "Eukaryotic large subunit ribosomal RNA", at positions 1 to 361 of the family's 3401-position model. Lineage: Eukaryota; Fungi; Basidiomycota; Agaricomycetes; Hymenochaetales; Hymenochaetaceae. The record is from RNAcentral.